AUGGAUCCCUUCGUUUCUGACCCCACCGGUCCUGUGACAACCAGCCCCAAAACUCAGGGACAAGAGGAAGAGGGCCUUGGAACCGACCCCUCCUUCAAUUCCCUUACCACUGAGUCCGUCGGCGCGAGCCCCGACGCGGAGGGCGGCGCCGCCGCCACACAGGCGGACGAUGAGGCGGAGAGUGGGGCGCCCGGCUCCCCUUCCCCGCCCCGACUGCCGCCGAGCAUCUCCGCGCGCCCGCGAUCCUCUCAGGGCCGCGUGCUUCCGGAGGCUGGCCGCCUCCUGCGAAGCCCGCCGACUCCGCGAGGCGGCGCUCCUCCGUGCGUCUAA
This 330-nucleotide ribosomal RNA is filed under the name Triticum aestivum (bread wheat). Its description in RNAcentral is "partial small subunit ribosomal RNA". The record is from RNAcentral. Lineage: Eukaryota; Viridiplantae; Streptophyta; Magnoliopsida; Poales; Poaceae.